RNAcentral lists this ribosomal RNA (422 nucleotides) under soil fungal sp. DM2-079. Its description in RNAcentral is "eukaryotic LSU rRNA". It matches the Rfam family "Eukaryotic large subunit ribosomal RNA", at positions 167 to 596 of the family's 3401-position model. Lineage: Eukaryota; Fungi. The record is from RNAcentral.
GGUGCGGUAUCUUCCGAGUUCCUNGGAACAGGACGCCUUANAGGGUGAGAGCCCCGUACGGUUGAAUGCCUAGCCUCUGUAAAUCUCCUUCGACGAGUCGAGUAUUUUGGGAAUGCUGCUCUAAAUGGGAGGUAAAUUUCUUCUAAAGCUAAAUAUUGGCCAGAGACCGAUAGCGCACAAGUAGAGUGAUCGAAAGAUGAAAAGCACUUUGAAAAAAGGGUUAAAUANCAUGUGAAAUUGUUGAAAGGGAAGGAUUUGUGACCAGACUUUUUCUGGGCGGAUCAUCCGGGGUUCUCUCCGGUGCACUUUGCCCAGUAAAGGCCNGCAUCNAUUUUCGGCGGCNGAUAAAAGCANUGGGAAUGUGGCUCCUUACUGGGAGUGUUAUAGCCCAUUGUAUAAUACGCUGCUGGNGAUCGAGGUAC